GACGAACGCUGGCGGCGUGCUUAACACAUGCAAGUCGAACGGGCCUUGUCCCCUUUUUUUUGGGGGUGGGGUUAGUGGCGAACGGGUGAGUAACACGUGAGUAACCUGCCCCUCACUUCUGGAUAACCGCUUGAAAGGGUGGCUAAUACGGGGUGUUCUGGCCUGCUCGCAUGGGUGGGUUUGGAAAGAUUCGACCGGUUUUGGUUGUUUUGGUGGGGGAUGGGCUCGCGGCCUAUCAGCUUGUUGGUGGGGUGAUGGCCUGCCAAGGCUUUGACGGGUAGCCGGCCUGAGAGGGUGGGCGGUCACACUGGGACUGAGACACGGCCCAGACUCCUACGGGAGGCAGCAGUGGGGAAUAUUGCACAAUGGGCGCAAGCCUGAUGCAGCGACGCCGCGUGAGGGAUGGAGGCCUUCGGGUUGUGAACCUCUUUCGCCAGUGAAGAAGGUCCU
This 450-nucleotide ribosomal RNA is filed under the name Actinomyces massiliensis. RNAcentral's name for it is "bacterial SSU rRNA". It matches the Rfam family "Bacterial small subunit ribosomal RNA", at positions 28 to 455 of the family's 1533-position model. The record is from RNAcentral. Lineage: Bacteria; Bacillati; Actinomycetota; Actinomycetes; Actinomycetales; Actinomycetaceae.